UAUGUGAUCGUCUCUCGCAUAUCAAUAAGCGGAGGAAAAGAAACUAACAAGGAUUCCCCUAGUAACGGCGAGUGAAGCGGGAAGAGCUCAAAUUUGAAAUCUUAAAGGGUUUCCCUUUACGAAUUGUAGUUUAAAGAAGUGUUUUCUGUUGAGGUUUUGGUAAAAGUUCUUUGGAAUAGGACAUCAUAGAGGGUGAGAAUCCCGUAUUUGACCUUUACUUUCAACUUUGUGAUACACUUUCAAAGAGUCGGAUUGUUUGGGAAUGCAGUCCAAAAUGGGUGGUAAAUUUCAUCUAAAGCUAAAUAUUGGCGAGAGACCGAUAGCGAACAAGUACCGUGAGGGAAAGAUGAAAAGAACUUUGAAAAGAGAGUUAAACAGUACGUGAAAUUGUCAAAAGGGAAGCGUUUGACACCAGUGUUGUUUUUCUGAAAAUCAAUUAAAGAACUGUUUAUGCUAAGCUGUUUAGACUUUAUCAGCUAAUCUGUUUAGUUUUGAGCUUUUCUUUAAUGCACUUUUCAGUUAACAAGUCAACAUCAAUUUCUUUUGCUGUAAAAAAGCUUGAGGAAGGUGGCUUGAGAUUCGUCUUAAGUGUUUAUAGCCUCUUGCCUAUGCAGUCGGAGAGAUUGAGGUCUGCAGCGUAGAUCCUUCGGGGCUAAAUGCAUUUGUGCUAAGUUAUAGCAUUUUAUAGACAACUUGUUGACUAUGAUUUGUCUUGUAGCUUACUCGCUUAUGUUAUUUUACCUACGCUUAGGAUGUUGAGUAGCGACAUACGCAC
RNAcentral lists this ribosomal RNA (775 nucleotides) under uncultured Neocallimastigales. RNAcentral's name for it is "partial large subunit ribosomal RNA". It matches the Rfam family "Eukaryotic large subunit ribosomal RNA", at positions 24 to 649 of the family's 3401-position model. The record is from RNAcentral. Lineage: Eukaryota; Fungi; Neocallimastigomycota; Neocallimastigomycetes; Neocallimastigales.